RNAcentral lists this ribosomal RNA (234 nucleotides) under uncultured Lactobacillus sp. RNAcentral describes it as "partial 16S ribosomal RNA". It matches the Rfam family "Bacterial small subunit ribosomal RNA", at positions 128 to 355 of the family's 1533-position model. The record is from RNAcentral. Lineage: Bacteria; Bacillati; Bacillota; Bacilli; Lactobacillales; Lactobacillaceae.
GCCCAAGAGAUCGGGAUAACACCUGGAAACAGAUGCUAAUACCGGAUAACAACAGAUGAUGCCUAUCAGCUGUUUAAAAGAUGGUUCUGCUAUCACUCUUGGAUGGACCUGCGGUGCAUUAGCUAGUUGGUAGGGUAACGGCCUACCAAGGCGAUGAUGCAUAGCCGAGUUGAGAGACUGAUCGGCCACAUUGGGACUGAGACACGGCCCAAACUCCUACGGGAGGCAGCAGCC